RNAcentral lists this ribosomal RNA (467 nucleotides) under uncultured bacterium. RNAcentral describes it as "partial 16S ribosomal RNA". It matches the Rfam family "Bacterial small subunit ribosomal RNA", at positions 28 to 507 of the family's 1533-position model. The record is from RNAcentral.
GACGAACGCUGGCGGCGUGCUUAACACAUGCAAGUCGAACGGAAAGGCCCUGCUUUUGUGGGGUGCUCGAGUGGCGAACGGGUGAGUAACACGUGAGUAACCUGCCCUUGACUUUGGGAUAACUUCAGGAAACUGGGGCUAAUACCGGAUAGGAGCUCCUGCUGCAUGGUGGGGGUUGGAAAGUUUCGGCGGCUGGGGAUGGACUCGCGGCUUAUCAGCUUGUUGGUGGGGUAGUGGCUUACCAAGGCUUUGACGGGUAGCCGGCCUGAGAGGGUGACCGGCCACAUUGGGACUGAGAUACGGCCCAGACUCCUACGGGAGGCAGCAGUGGGGAAUAUUGCACAAUGGGCGGAAGCCUGAUGCAGCAACGCCGCGUGCGGGAUGACGGCCUUCGGGUUGUAAACCGCUUUCGCCUGUGACGAAGCGUGAGUGACGGUAAUGGGUAAGAAGCACCGGCUAACUACGUG